RNAcentral lists this ribosomal RNA (373 nucleotides) under uncultured bacterium. RNAcentral's name for it is "bacterial SSU rRNA". It matches the Rfam family "Bacterial small subunit ribosomal RNA", at positions 28 to 414 of the family's 1533-position model. The record is from RNAcentral.
GAUGAACGCUAGCGGCAGGCUUAAUACAUGCAAGUCAAGGGGGUAGCAAUACUACCGGCGCACGGGUGAGUAACACGUACAUAACAUACCAUAUACUGGGGUAUAGCUUUGGGAAACUGAAGGUAAUCCCCCAUAACAUUGCGAGAGGGCAUCUGAUUGCAAUUAAAGUUUCGACGGUAUAUGAUUGAUGUGCGUUUGAUUAGCUUGUUGGUAGGGUAACGGCCUACCAAGGCGACGAUCAAUAGCUGGCGUGAGAGCGCGACCAGCCACACUGGAACUGAGACACGGUCCAGACUCCUACGGGAGGCAGCAGUAGGGAAUAUUGGACAAUGGGCGAAAGCCUGAUCCAGCCAUGCCGCGUGAUAGAUGAAGG